This 492-nucleotide ribosomal RNA is filed under the name uncultured bacterium. RNAcentral describes it as "partial 16S ribosomal RNA". It matches the Rfam family "Bacterial small subunit ribosomal RNA", at positions 29 to 507 of the family's 1533-position model. The record is from RNAcentral.
AGUGAACGCUGGCGGUAGGCCUAACACAUGCAAGUCGAACGGCAGCACAGUAAGAGCUUGCUCUUACGGGUGGCGAGUGGCGGAUGGGUGAGGAAUACAUCGGAAUCUACUUUUUCGUGGGGGAUAACGUAGGGAAACUUACGCUAAUACCGCAUACGACCUACGGGUGAAAGCAGGGGAUCUUCGGACCUUGCGCGAUUGAAUGAGCCGAUGUCGGAUUAGCUAGUUGGCGGGGUAAAGGCCCACCAAGGCGACGAUCCGUAGCUGGUCUGAGAGGAUGAUCAGCCACACUGGAACUGAGACACGGUCCAGACUCCUACGGGAGGCAGCAGUGGGGAAUAUUGGACAAUGGGCGCAAGCCUGAUCCAGCCAUACCGCGUGGGUGAAGAAGGCCUUCGGGUUGUAAAGCCCUUUUGUUGGGAAAGAAAAGCAGCAAGUUAAUACCCCGCUGUUCUGACGGUACCCAAAGAAUAAGCACCGGCUAACUUCGUG